CAAGUACCAUGGUAUUUUCAAAUGACAAUAAACUUAAUCAAGAAGUAAAACCAACAAGGAAAAUGUUUUUUUGACAACAGAAUUUUGACAACGAUUUGCCAACGACAGCUGGCUUGCUCUCAUUGGCUGGAAUUAUUGAAUUUUUUUAAAUCAAAACAAGGGAGGGGAAGGGCAUUUGUGGAAAAGGGUUUCUGGAAUACAAACGGUUCGUGCCUAAGGAAGUUUCUCUCUCCACAAAAUCAUCUCUCUUUGUCGACACCAAACCCAAACUCUCGCUCCACGAUUCCGAACUCUGUCGACGCCAUCGAAGACGUGUAUAUCUCUAUCCGCCAAUAUUUGUAUUGAAGGUUGACAUUGAAUGGUUUUGUUUCCGUGAUUGAUUUCAUCUCCGUCCGCCAUUGAAGUGUUGGUUGGAAGUGUCGAAAAGGGCGAACAUUGUCAUCUUUUCUCCAAAGGAGAGGUUUUUUUGCUGUCGGCGUUCUUACUUGGUGGGUUUCAUUCGGUUUUAAUGUAUUUUGUGAUCUUUAUUCUAACAUGCCGUUGUUACAUGCACGUAAUGUACGAUUGUGAACUCUCUAACCC
This 582-nucleotide long non-coding RNA is filed under the name Vigna radiata. RNAcentral describes it as "long non-coding RNA (VRAD_LNC004551)". Lineage: Eukaryota; Viridiplantae; Streptophyta; Magnoliopsida; Fabales; Fabaceae. The record is from RNAcentral.